This 252-nucleotide ribosomal RNA is filed under the name uncultured bacterium. RNAcentral's name for it is "partial 16S ribosomal RNA". It matches the Rfam family "Bacterial small subunit ribosomal RNA", at positions 525 to 776 of the family's 1533-position model. The record is from RNAcentral.
ACGAAGGGUGCGAGCGUUAAUCGGAAUUACUGGGCGUAAAGAGCACGUAGGUGGUUUAGUAAGCGGAAUGUGAAAGCCCAGGGCUCAACCUUGGAACUGCAUUCCGAACUGCUAGGCUAGAGUAUAGUAGAGGUAAGCGGAAUUUCCUGUGUAGCGGUGAAAUGCGUAGAUAUAGGAAGGAACAUCAGUUGCGAAGGCGGCUUACUGGACUAAUACUGACACUGAGGUGCGAAAGCGUGGGUAGCGAACAGG